UUCCGGAGCUAACGCGUUAAGUCGACCGCCUGGGGAGUACGGCCGCAAGGUUAAAACUCAAAUGAAUUGACGGGGGCCCGCACAAGCGGUGGAGCAUGUGGUUUAAUUCGAUGCAACGCGAAGAACCUUACCUGGCCUUGACAUCCAGAGAACUUAGCAGAGAUGCUUUGGUGCCUUCGGGAACUCUGAGACAGGUGCUGCAUGGCUGUCGUCAGCUCGUGUUGUGAAAUGUUGGGUUAAGUCCCGCAACGAGCGCAACCCUUAUCCUUUGUUGCCAGCGGGUCGGGCGGGAAAUCAAAGGA
RNAcentral lists this ribosomal RNA (302 nucleotides) under Enterobacter sp. DJM4B3. RNAcentral describes it as "bacterial SSU rRNA". It matches the Rfam family "Bacterial small subunit ribosomal RNA", at positions 844 to 1146 of the family's 1533-position model. The record is from RNAcentral. Lineage: Bacteria; Pseudomonadati; Pseudomonadota; Gammaproteobacteria; Enterobacterales; Enterobacteriaceae.